Molecule: ribosomal RNA, 464 nt
Filed under: uncultured bacterium
Lineage: Bacteria
Description: partial 16S ribosomal RNA
Rfam family: Bacterial small subunit ribosomal RNA
Source: RNAcentral
GACGAACGCUGGCGGCGUGCUUAACACAUGCAAGUCGAACGGAAAGGCCCAGCUUGCUGGGUGCUCGGGUGGCGAACGGGUGAGUAACACGUGGGUGAUCUGCCCCUAACUUCGGGAUAAGCUUGGGAAACUGGGUCUAAUACCGGAUAGGACAAUCGUUUAGUGUCGGUUGUGGAAAGUUUUUUCGGUUAGGGAUGAGCCCGCGGCCUAUCAGCUUGUUGGUGGGGUAAUGGCCUACCAAGGCGUCGACGGGUAGCCGGCCUGAGAGGGUGGACGGCCACAUUGGGACUGAGAUACGGCCCAGACUCCUACGGGAGGCAGCAGUGGGGAAUAUUGCACAAUGGGCGCAAGCCUGAUGCAGCGACGCCGCGUGGGGGAUGACGGCCUUCGGGUUGUAAACCUCUUUCGACAGGGACGAAGCUUUGGUGACGGUACCUGUAUAAGAAGCACCGGCUAACUACGUG